GUCAAGAUAUUAAGGGCACACGGUGGAUGCCUUGGCACCAGGAGUCGAUGAAGGACGUGGACGGCUGCGAUAAGCCACGGUGAGGCGCUGAACAGCCUUUGACCCGUGGAUCUCCGAAUGGGAAAACCCGGCGCCGGUAAUGCGGCGUCAUCCAGGGCUGAAUACAUAGGUUCUGGAAGGUAAGCGGGCGAACUGAAACAUCUCAUUAGCCCGACGAAGAGAAAUCAACCGAGACUCCCCGAGUAGUGGCGAGCGAAAGGGGAUCAGCCCAAACCGAGCGGGUGCAAGCGAGCACGCGUUGCCUGUUCGGGGUUGUAGGACUUGUGUCCGGACCGUGCUCGGUCCGGCGGCAGUUACCAAGUCAGGUGCUAGUCGAAGCGAGUGGAACCUCGCACCACAGAGGGCAAUCGUCCCGUAGACGAAAGCGCACUGACCUGCCGAUCGAGUUCCUGAGUAGGACCGCUCCCGUGAAACGCGGUUCGAAUCUGGGGGGACCACCCUCCAAGGCUAAGUACUCCCUGGUGACCGAUAGUGAACUAGUACCGUGAGGGAAAGGUGAAAAGCACCCCUGAAGGGGAGUGAAAUAGUACCUGAAACCGCGUGCCUACAAGUGGUCGGAGCCCUUCGGGGUGACGGCGUACUUUUUGCAUAACGGGCCGGCGAGUUACGCGUACGUGGCAAGGUUAAGCGAUGAGCGGAGCCGCAGCGAAAGCGAGUCUGAACAGGGCGAAUCAGUCGCGUACGGUAGACCCGAAACCUGGCGAGCUAUCCAUGGGCAGGCUGAAGCGGAGGUAAGACUUCGUGGAGGGCCGAACCGACCUAGGUUAAAAACUGGGCGGAUGACCUGUGGAUCGGAGUGAAAGGCUAAUCAAGCCAGGAGAUAUCUGGUUCUCUCCGAAAUAUAUUUAGGUAUAGCCUCGAGCAAUAUGCGUCAUGGCCGUAGAGCACUGCUUGGACUAGGGGCCCUACCAGGUUACCGACUUCAGGCAAACUCCGAAGACUGUGACGUUUAACUCGGGAGUCAGUGUGCGGGGGAUAAACUUCGUACGCGAGAGGGGAACAACCCAGAUCACCAGCUAAGGACCCUAAGUGGUGGCUAAGUGGAGAACGAUGUCCGAAUGCCUAGACAACCAAGAGGUUGGCUUAGAAGCAGCCAUUCCUUGAAAGAGUGCGUAACAGCUCACUGGUCAAGUGUUCGGGCGCGGAGAAUUCAACGGGGCUCAAGCCACCCUCCGAAGCUGUGAACUCAACUUUGUUGAGUGGUAGGAGAGCGUUCCGAUCUGAGUGAAGCGGUGGCGGAAGCCGCCGUGGACGGAUCAGAAGUGAGAAUGCCGGCAUGAGUAACGAGAAAGUGGUGAGAAUCCACUUCACCGAUUGUCCAAGGUUUCCUGAGUAAAGUUCGUCUGCUCAGGGUUAGUCGGGACCUAAGGCGAGGCCGAAAGGCGUAGUCGAUGGCCAACAGGUUGAUAUUCCUGUACCACGUUUCACCCGCUAUGACCGAUGGGGUGACGGGGAAGGCUAAGGGAACCCAGGCGAUGGUCGCCCUGGGGCAAGCACGUAGCCAGUCGCGGCAGGCAAACCCGCCGCGGCGUUCUGACGCGAGGUGCGAUGCCAGCUGGCUUUAUUGCCGGCCAGUCCCUGAAGCCAUGCCUCCGAGAAAAACCUCUAGGCAGGAUGCGACGUGCCCGUACCUACAACCGACACAGGUGGACAGGUAGAGAAUACUGAGGUGAGCGAGCUAACCAUCGUUAAGGAACUCGGCAAAUUCGCCCCGUAAGUUCGCGAGAAGGGGCGCCCCGGUAGGGUGAAGUCCAUACGGAUGGAGCCCGAGGGGGCCGCAGUGAAAAGGUCCAACCGACUGUUUACCAAAAACACAGGCCUCUGCUAAGUCGCAAGACGACGUAUAGGGGCUGACGCCUGCCCGGUGCCGGAAGGUUACGCGGAAUUGUUAGCGGCUUCGGCUGCGAAGCAGUGAAGCUAAGCCCCGGUAAACGGCGGCCGUAACUAUAACGGUCCUAAGGUAGCGAAAUUCCUUGUCGGGUAAGUUCCGACCUGCACGAAUGGCGCAACGAGUUGGACGCUGUCUCAACGAUGGGCUCGGUGAAAUUAGAGUCUCGGUGAAGAUACCGAGUACCCGCAGAAAGACGGAAAGACCCCGUGAACCUUUACUGCAACUUGAUAUUGGAGUUCGGAGUAUCUCGCUCAGGAUAGGUGGGAGGCUUUGAACCUGUGGCUUUGGCCGCAGGGGAGCCACCCUUGAGAUACCACCCUUGGUGUUUUGGGCUUCUAACUCGCUGCCGUCAACCGGGGCGGGAACAGUGUCAGGUGGGCAGUUUGACUGGGGCGGUCGCCUCCUAAAAUGUAACGGAGGCGCCCAAAGGUUCCCUCAGCACGGUUGGAAAUCGUGCGCAGAGUGUAAAGGCAACAAGGGAGCUUGACUGCGAGACCGACGGGUCGAGCAGGAACGAAAGUUGGGCUUAGUGAUCCGGCCGUAGAAAGUGGAAUUGCGGUCGCUCAACGGAUAAAAGGUACUCCGGGGAUAACAGGCUUAUCGCGCCCAAGAGUCCAUAUCGACGGCGCGGUUUGGCACCUCGAUGUCGGCUCGUCGCAUCCUGGGGCUGGAGCAGGUCCCAAGGGUUGGGCUGUUCGCCCAUUAAAGCGGCACGCGAGCUGGGUUCAGAACGUCGUGAGACAGUUCGGUCCCUAUCUUCUGUGGGCGUUGGAGAGUUGAGGGGAUUCGUCCCUAGUACGAGAGGACCGGGAUGAACGCGCCUCUGGUGUACCAGUUGUCCUGCCAAGGGCACCGCUGGUUAGCUACGCGCGGCAUGGAUAACCGCUGAAAGCAUCUAAGCGGGAAGCCUUCCUCGAGAUGAGCUCUCCCAUCCCCUAGAGGGAGUAAGGCCCCUGGUAGACCACCAGGUUGAUAGGCCGGCUGUGCAACUGCAGCAAUGCAGUCAGCAGACCGGUACUAAUGGGCCGAGGGCUUGACGGA
This 2992-nucleotide ribosomal RNA is filed under the name Actinomycetota bacterium. RNAcentral's name for it is "Actinobacteria bacterium (freshwater metagenome) 23S ribosomal RNA". It matches the Rfam family "Bacterial large subunit ribosomal RNA". Lineage: Bacteria; Bacillati; Actinomycetota. The record is from RNAcentral.